GGGGGCUAGCGUUGGUCGGAAUUACUGGGCGUAAAGCGCGUGUAGGCGGUUAGCCAAGUCGGGGGUGAAAGCCUUGAGCUUAACUCAAGAAAUGCACUCGGUACUGGGUGACUAGAGGACCGGAGAGGAUAGUGGAAUUCCCAGUGUAGUGGUGAAAUACGUAGAGAUUGGGAAGAACACCAGUGGCGAAGGCGGCUAUCUGGACGGUUUCUGACGCUAAGACGCGAAAGCGUGGGGAGCAAACAGG
RNAcentral lists this ribosomal RNA (247 nucleotides) under uncultured bacterium. Its description in RNAcentral is "partial 16S ribosomal RNA". It matches the Rfam family "Bacterial small subunit ribosomal RNA", at positions 530 to 776 of the family's 1533-position model. The record is from RNAcentral.